RNAcentral lists this unclassified non-coding RNA (234 nucleotides) under Hevea brasiliensis (rubber tree). Lineage: Eukaryota; Viridiplantae; Streptophyta; Magnoliopsida; Malpighiales; Euphorbiaceae. The record is from RNAcentral.
GCUCCUCGUCUGAAUAAAUCACCUGCAGUAAAUAGUUGGAAACCAAUAAAUUAGUAAACAAUCUUAAUGACAAAAGAAUAAGUAAAAAUUUAGAUGUAUUCAGAUGACAAAAUGAUCUUAAUAACCACAGAAUUAGACAACUUAGCGGGCCAGUAAAGUCAAUGCCCACAAUGUACAGGCACUUCAAAGAACCAAGGAAGGAAACCACGAUGUACAUUCACUUCACAGAAACAA